RNAcentral lists this transfer RNA (85 nucleotides) under Chloroflexota bacterium. RNAcentral describes it as "Chloroflexi bacterium (sediment metagenome) tRNA-Leu". It matches the Rfam family "tRNA". Rfam says of the family: Transfer RNA (tRNA) molecules are approximately 80 nucleotides in length. Their secondary structure includes four short double-helical elements and three loops (D, anti-codon, and T loops). Further hydrogen bonds mediate the characteristic L-shaped molecular structure. tRNAs have two regions of fundamental functional importance: the anti-codon, which is responsible for specific mRNA codon recognition, and the 3' end, to which the tRNAs corresponding amino acid is attached (by aminoacyl-tRNA synthetases). tRNAs cope with the degeneracy of the genetic code in two manners: having more than one tRNA (with a specific anti-codon) for a particular amino acid; and 'wobble' base-pairing, i.e. permitting non-standard base-pairing at the 3rd anti-codon position. Lineage: Bacteria; Bacillati; Chloroflexota. The record is from RNAcentral. RNAcentral also lists the same sequence under 2 other names.
GCCGAAGUGGCGGAACUGGCAGACGCGCGCGACUCAAAAUCGCGUUCCUUCGGGAGUGUGGGUUCGAGUCCCACCUUCGGCACCA